ACGGCUCACCACCCACAGAU
RNAcentral lists this unclassified non-coding RNA (20 nucleotides) under Mus musculus (house mouse). RNAcentral's name for it is "oocyte_clustered_small_RNA13361". Lineage: Eukaryota; Metazoa; Chordata; Mammalia; Rodentia; Muridae. The record is from RNAcentral.